UUUCUGUUGCUUCAGAGAUGAACCAUAACUUAAGAAAAUAAAAUACUAUAGGUGAGAUUUUUGUAACAAUAUGAACUUAGCCAACACCUACCAAACGUAAGAAUGCUGGAAAACUGCUCAGUCAGGAGUUUCAAAGUGACCAAGACUAUAGCAAGACGACUGUUCAGCAAAACAGAACGUAACAGACCAAAGAGCGCGGACGAGAGCAUGCAGACAGACACCGCCAUGGUAGGAUGUGGCAGCUGAGAACUACAGGUUAAAGAGCAGGACUCUUGAGAGGUCUUAUGGAAAAGAGCUUGCAAGCCUUACCCAGAGGAGAGAAACAAACCGACCCGCUUAACGUUCUGUACCAAAAUUCACCUCAGAUACACAAUGCUGUGGACUGAGAGAACGAGAGGAACCUUGUUGCCCUGUCCUGCUCCAUUUUUGCACAUUCAUAGCUGCAAGCCAACAGUGCCAUCCACUGUUCCUGAGGG
This 476-nucleotide long non-coding RNA is filed under the name Columba livia (rock pigeon). RNAcentral's name for it is "partial uncharacterized LOC102084995". The record is from RNAcentral. Lineage: Eukaryota; Metazoa; Chordata; Aves; Columbiformes; Columbidae.